UAGAUACAUUUGUUGUGGACGACAAAAAAGGGCAGCGUAUCGAAGAGUUGCAACACCUGGACCUUCGGAAUGAAUUAUCUAUCUUCAAUCUUGGGAACUUGAGAAGUAAAAAGGAAGCAGAGGAGGCAAAUUUAAUGGGAAAAGAAAAGCUUGAUGCGUUGUAUUUAUUAUGGAAAAGUCAUGUUUGGGGAAGUGAUAAUAGAUCAAUGUUUGGUGUUGAUAAAGAUGAUGAUGCAUUGGAAGGUCUUCGACCUCCUUUGAAUCUAAAAAGACUAUCCAUCGUAAACUUUGGAGGUCAAAACUUUCCACGAUGGAUGAUGAGUGGGUGUGAAUUGUUUCUUCCCAAUUUGAUGCAACUCCAUCUACAUGAUUGCAAAAGAUUGGAGCAUGUCCCUCCACUUGGACGGCUACCAUCUCUAAAGCGUCUUCAACUAAAAGGACUUCAAAGGAGGAAAAGGUUUGGCAGUGUAUUCUAUCAUGGGAAUGGUAGCAACAGUCAAGCUAUGACUACUACAACAGUAUUCCCUUCAUUGCAAAAACUUAUCCUAUCACAACUUAGAAGAAUGGGUGGAACCGCAGGGCUCAUUUCCUUCAUUCCCUCGCCUUGAGAAUAUAUUUGUAGAAGAUUGCCCCAACUUGACGAUCAUGCCCAGUAAGUUUUCUUCUCUUAAACGAUUCCAAAUCAGAAGAGGCAAUGGCAACUUGCUAAGGUUAGUCGUGGAGGUUCCUUUUCUCACCCGACUGCAAAUAAUUGAAAUAUUACGCAUUGAGAAUUGCCCUGACCUUGAAGCAAUUAUUACCCCAAACGAGGAGGAGGCAGGUGUGCGAGUCUUCCCAUCAUCUCUUGAACAGUUGCAGAUUUUUGAUUGCCCUUCUCUAACGUCAUUGCCAGAUCUACGAGGCCUACACACUCUUCAGAAUUUUUAUUUUUUCAGGAAUGAAAAAGUCACUCGAUUACCAGAGGGUCUACACACCCUCCACACCCUUGAACUGUUGAGUAUUGGUGUGUUUUCAUCCCAGCUGAAGACUUUUCCCGACUUGGAGUCUCUCCAACACUUGCCCUCCCUUCGGCACUUAUAUAUUUCAGGCUGGUCUAAGCUUACAUCUCUUCCUGAGCAACUUCAAAGUCUCACCCAAUUAGAAGUUUUGUUAAUAAAAAAGUUUCAUAGUGUGGCAUCUCUGCCAGAGUGGCUCGGGAACCUUUCAAUGCUUCGAACUUUGCACCUUGAAGAGUGCAAUAAUCUGAUGUAUCUUGAAGGACUACGAUGCUUCACCACUGCACUAAAAAGGUUGAGUAUUAUAAAUUGCCCCCUUCUCAAAGAAAGAUGCACUAGGGAAAGAGGCGAAGAGUGGCCAAAGAUUAAACACAUUCAAUACAUUGACAUUGAUGGCCAAGGGGUGUAGUUGGUGCAGGUAAAAUGUUUGAAGAUGAAGAUGGUGGGUCAGGCUUCAAAGCACUAUGUUGAUUAAGUUUCCACCUACCCAAGCAAGGGGGAAAGAAUUGAGGAAAGCAACUGAGGUGAUCUCCAUCAUAGAACUGAAGAAAAUGGGCAGUACUGAGAAGCUUGUUUUCUAUUGUCUGUGAAGAUUUUUGUUGAGGACAUUUUGAUGCUUACAAUGAUGACAUCGACUCCUCAAGGACAAGAUCACAAAGUUUGAGUAAGAAAAUGAGCUGCUCUGCAAUCAGGCACCGGUUUCUGUGCAGCGGAUAGUUGAUACUUAACAGAUGCAGCCACAAGGAACUAAGGUGCAUUCAUGGUCCAAAUGCCUUUUAUGAUUAAGACUUACUAUGCUUGAGAUUCAGUUCAGUAGCUGACUUAAUCAAACAAUGGAAGUACACAAGACAAUAAAGGAGCCAGUGCCUCCCCCAUAUGCCAUAAGUAAAGAAAAAUCUCUAACAGACAGGGAGCAGGAAAACCAAGAAACUCUAAUAAAGUGCCUCAAGAAAGAUAAAUGGUUUGACAAGAACAGACCUGCUGCUGUGUGUAUUGUCUAUAAAGCACUUCUACAAUGGAUAUCAUUUGAAGCAGACAAGACAAACAUAUUUGAUCGGACAAUUUACGCAAUGCAGUAAUCUAUCGAGGGCUUUCGAUCAUCCUCAGGCAUGGGAAUUUCAAUUGGGUACAGUGGAAGGGUAGGAAAACCAGAUUUCUGAUCAAGAGUUCAAGAAAAAUACCCAGCCCUCCUGUUUAAGCAACAUCUAUCUUCAUGUGUCAAGAACUUGAACCUGUGUAUACAUGAAUCUACAAACAGAAAAGGACUGGAUCUACCUAUGAAUAAAUUCUCAACUGCAACUGCAGGCACUAAGAUCAGCAAGGGCCAGAUCAAUAAGAGCAUCCUCCAAAAUUACUGAAUCAAUAUAGUUGCAAAACAAGAAGCAUCAAGCACCGGCAAAGCAUUGUAGGAAGCGUGGAUUGCGCCUCAGCUACAAUGUGAGAAUUAUGUUUUUAACAGGUUUAUACUUUCAGUCAGGUGUUCUCCUUCGUAAAUGUGCAGCUUUUUGACAGUUUAUUGCUUCACCGUGAGUGCUGUUCAUUUAGCUACAGAGAAUAUGUGAAAGCUGGCUUACAAGAUGGAGCAACAGUUGAGUUUGCUGGAUCCUUAUGGAAUGAACUACAGGACAUAAGGCAGGCUAGUCUUUUCAAAAGUCAGAUAAAUUCUUCAAAGAUGGUGGGUCAGGUUUUAGAGUACUUUUAUUGAUUUAGUUGGGCAAGGGUCAAUUCUGGCAAGGAUCAGCAUUGACAAAAAAGCAACUGAGGUGAUCUCCAUCGUAGAGAAGAAAAUGGGAAGUACUGAGAAGCAUUUUUUUAAUAUGUGAAAGCUUUUGUGGAGGGCAUUUUGAUGUUUAUAGUGAUGAUAUCGACUGGAAUAUUAGAUCUUUGAUUUUUUGAGAUUAGGCAUCUUAAGAGAUCUUUUCGUUUUUUAGCAUUUAUAUUUCAUUUCUAGAUAUCCUCUGGUUGUGAAGUUUGCUUUCCAUAGCUGUAAUGGUUUUGAGUGGUUGAAUAUACCUUCCUGGUUUGGAUGAGGAA
Molecule: long non-coding RNA, 3029 nt
Organism: Macadamia integrifolia
Lineage: Eukaryota; Viridiplantae; Streptophyta; Magnoliopsida; Proteales; Proteaceae
Exons: 12
Source: RefSeq, a predicted model, not a curated record